GCCAGCAGCCCAUCUAUGGACUGAAGAAGUAUUGUGACCCCAGAAUCUCCUGCACAUCUGCACAUGAAGCCAGCGGUGGGCAGAUUUCCAUCAUCACGUUUGUGCUGAGGUGUGGGGUCUCACAUGCGAUUGGCCACGGCUCCCAUCGGCUCAGAGCGGGGGACCGCAGUCCGUCAGAUUCAGCCUCUCUUCACGGACCUUUGCAGGAGAAACGGGCAGAAAGGGGAGAGGGGACAUGCUGCUUUUGAGAUCUCAACGUGGGAUUAAGACUCUCUCUUCUGCUCCGUCUCUUUCUUUUGACUUUUUUUCCGAGUGAGCAGUCUGUCAUUCUUGAAAGGGGUAUGCAGGGAAAAAUAGAUCCAGUACAAAAGUGCCGCUCGACAUCAGGUGGGUGGAAGUUGAGCAAAGCAUCCUGGGUAGGUGUACACACACACACACCUUAGUAAAAACAGUCACUAUAAGCUGUAAGGAAUAGAAUUGGUGUUUAGCUCGGGGUUAAGCAUCGAAAGAGUUUAACACACACAAGAAAAAUACACACCAUCUUUCAUGUGCAAAUAAACAGAGGCACUAAAAAAAUACGAGCACCUUUAAUCGCAC
This is a long non-coding RNA of Triplophysa rosa, 597 nucleotides long. RefSeq lists it as uncharacterized. NCBI's taxonomy places the organism in Eukaryota, Metazoa, Chordata, Actinopteri, Cypriniformes, Nemacheilidae. The record is from RefSeq and is a predicted model, not a curated record. The transcript has 4 exons.